CGUUCCUUAUUACCACUACCCAGAUGUUUUCCUGUCCUGCAAAUGUAUAAACCCUACAACUAAAGAUCAUCCAUCUGCUCUAACAGCUGCUUAGUGCCUCUUCCAAUCUGAAGCUGGACUGUGGGUUUGAUAAUGAAGGCAGAGUAUUGUAAGCAGAUUAUGAGUCUGAAUAUCUGCAAAACCAAAUCCAAGCAACCUGGAGGCUAAUUGGCCUGAAGACAUCCCUUUGCUAAAGCCCGAAGGCAGGAGAUGCAGUCAGUUAAGCUCUAAUGGGCAAACCCAGGCAACUGCCCUCCCCUGAUUCCUCACAACUGCCAGAUCCAACAUGCCAGAAGCAAAACAAGUACACCAACUGUAUGCGCACUUCAUUCUCAUCAGCAAUGUCCUGUAUGGAACAGAGGAUGGAGUGAGUGGACGCUUUGCCUCGGCAGGGAGAGAUCAGCAACGAGACUCUGCUGAGCCCAGGACCCUGAGAUCUCACUCUAUUAGGCUGCAAUUCCCACUGCAGUGACUAGCGAUGAUUAUUACCA
RNAcentral lists this long non-coding RNA (530 nucleotides) under Microcebus murinus (gray mouse lemur). RNAcentral describes it as "lncRNA (ENSMICG00000048400.1)". The record is from RNAcentral. Lineage: Eukaryota; Metazoa; Chordata; Mammalia; Primates; Cheirogaleidae.